GGCAGACUUGGGAGAGCAUCUGAUGGUUCCAAGGGAAAUAUUUGUUGGGGAAAGAAAGGGGCACACAGGCCGGGUGACUUUCAGUCACAUGUGACCACAUGACGCCCACACAAACGGGUCUCUUGAGGCCAGAGCAGACAGGUUACCCCUGUUACCUCCAUCCUGGGUACAGCACCCCGUGGGGGUGGGAUCAAGCUGGGAGUGGGUGGGCAGAGCCCUCUCAGGUCAGCAGCCUCUUGGAUGAGGCCACAGAGCUGUAGUCUGUUAACAAGGCCAGAAGAUGCCUAUUUAUUCAUCCUACUUACUGACCCCGAAGCACUACCACUGACACCAUUACCACCAUGGACGGAGGUUUCAGCCUGCUCAGAUGACCAGAGCACUGGGGUGGCAGUCGGGAACACUUUUUACACUGAAACUGAUUUCUGGAGUAAGCAGUACAUACUCAUGCAAAAUUGUAAAGAUGCAAAAAGGAUGCAGAGAAAAAAGAGUUUGGGCUUUGGAAUCAAACAGACAAGAGCACAAACCACAGCUCCACAACAUGUGACCUUGGACAAGCACCUUUACCUCUUCUCUACAUGUUGGUUUCCCUCCUUGUAAUAUGGGAUGGAGACUAGUAACUGCCUCCUCUGCUGGUAAAUAAGAUACAAUCCAAAGGCACAGAGCACCUGGCCCAGAGAGAUUGCUUCGUAUCUGCUAUCCAGCAUGGCCAUCUGAUGGGGCCUGGACCUGGCUAAUUGUGGGCCCUGCUCCUCCCUCUGCCUGAGCCCCCAGCAGCUUCUCUGACCCAGCUGGAGGAAGAAGCUCUGAUGGGCAUCUCCUGUCCGUGCACAUCAAGUUAUUUCUAGUUGAUUUGUUAUUGUGGUUGUUGUGGUUGUUAUUUCUACUAAGAACAUUGAGCUAUGAAUAAACUGUGCAUUUUUCUUGAUGAAUGUGGAAAAGAGAUUCUCUAGGGUGUACAUAAUAAUAAUUAUAAUAAUAAACAACUGGAAAAAUAAGGGCAUUGAGUGCUCAGGAUGAAUGCCAUGGAGCUGGAACCUGGUCCUGGAGGUGUUCUGAGAGGCCAGGUGUUACCCUGGUAGUUGCUGGGUCCUGGAGAUUUGAGGGGGCAGUCCCCAGGG
Bos taurus (domestic cattle) is the source of this 1118-nucleotide long non-coding RNA. NCBI's taxonomy places the organism in Eukaryota, Metazoa, Chordata, Mammalia, Artiodactyla, Bovidae. The record is from Ensembl.